GAAAUGCUUAGAUAUCACGAAGAACUCCGAUUGCGAAGGCAGCCUGCUGGACUGUAACUGACGCUGAUGCUCGAAAGUGUGGGUAUCAAACAGGAUUAGAUACCCUGGUAGUCCACACAGUAAACGAUGAAUACUCGCUGUUUGCGAUAUACAGUAAGCGGCCAAGCGAAAGCGUUAAGUAUUCCACCUGGGGAGUACGCCGGCAACGGUGAAACUCAAAGGAAUUGACGGGGGCCCGCACAAGCGGAGGAACAUGUGGUUUAAUUCGAUGAUACGCGAGGAACCUUACCCGGGCUUGAAUUGCAACUGAAUGAUGUGGAGACAUGUCAGCCGCAAGGCAGUUGUGAAGGUGCUGCAUGGUUGUCGUCAGCUCGUGCCGUGAGGUGUCGGCUUAAGUGCCAUAACGAGCGCAACCCUUAUCGAUAGUUACCAUCAGGUUAUGCUGGGGACUCUGUCGAGACUGCCGUCGUAAGAUGUGAGGAAGGUGGGGAUGACGUCAAAUCAGCACGGCCCUUACGUCCGGGGCUACACACGUGUUACAAUGGGGGGUACAGAAGGCAGCUACACGGCGACGUGAUGCUAAUCCCUAAAGCCUCUCUCAGUUCGGAUUGGAGUCUGCAACCCGACUCCAUGAAGCUGGAUUCGCUAGUAAUCGCGCAUCAGCCACGGCGCGGUGAAUACGUUCCCGGGCCUUGUACACACCGCCCGUCAAGCCAUGAAAGCCGGGGGUACCUGAAGUGCGUAACCGCAAGGAGCGCCCUAGGGUAAAACUGGUGAUUGGGGCUAAGUCGUAACAAGGUAGCCGUACCGGAAGGUGCGGCUG
This 823-nucleotide ribosomal RNA is filed under the name gut metagenome. RNAcentral's name for it is "bacterial SSU rRNA". It matches the Rfam family "Bacterial small subunit ribosomal RNA", at positions 683 to 1520 of the family's 1533-position model. The record is from RNAcentral.